GACGAACGCUGGCGGCGUGCUUAACACAUGCAAGUCGAACGAUGAAGGAGAGCUUGCUCUCCGGAUUAGUGGCGAACGGGUGAGUAACACGUGACUAACCUGCCCCUUUCUCUGGGAUAACGCUCCGAAAGGAGUGCUAAUACCGGAUACGAACCCUGGACACAUGUUCGGAGUUGGAAAGUUUUUCGGAAAGGGAUGGAGUCGCGGCCUAUCAGCUUGUUGGUGAGGUAACGGCUCACCAAGGCGACGACGGGUAGCCGGCCUGAGAGGGCGACCGGCCACACUGGGACUGAGACACGGCCCAGACUCCUACGGGAGGCAGCAGUGGGGAAUAUUGCACAAUGGGCGAAAGCCUGAUGCAGCGACGCCGCGUGAGGGAUGAAGGUCUUCGGAUUGUAAACCUCUUUCAGUAGGGACGAAGCGAAAGUGACGGUACCUAAAGAAGAAGCACCGGCUAACUACGUGCCAGCCGCCGCAGUAA
RNAcentral lists this ribosomal RNA (481 nucleotides) under uncultured bacterium. Its description in RNAcentral is "partial 16S ribosomal RNA". It matches the Rfam family "Bacterial small subunit ribosomal RNA", at positions 28 to 523 of the family's 1533-position model. The record is from RNAcentral.